This 479-nucleotide ribosomal RNA is filed under the name uncultured organism. Its description in RNAcentral is "partial 16S ribosomal RNA". It matches the Rfam family "Bacterial small subunit ribosomal RNA", at positions 329 to 799 of the family's 1533-position model. The record is from RNAcentral.
ACGUACACUCCUGCGGGAGGCAGCAGUGGGGAAUCUUGGACAAUGGGCGAAAGCCUGAUCCAGCCAUGCCGCGUGCAGGAUGAAGGCCUUCGGGUUGUAAACUGCUUUUGUACGGAACGAAACGGCCUUUUCUAAUAAAGAGGGCUAAUGACGGUACCGUAAGAAUAAGGACCGGCUAACUACGUGCCAGCAGCCGCGGUAAUACGUAGGGUGCAAGCGUUAAUCGGAAUUACUGGGCGUAAAGCGUGCGCAGGCGGUUAUGUAAGACAGUUGUGAAAUCCCCGGGCUCAACCUGGGAACUGCAUCUGUGACUGCAUAGCUAGAGUACGGUAGAGGGGGAUGGAAUUCCGCGUGUAGCAGUGAAAUGCGUAGAUAUGCGGAGGAACACCGAUGGCGAAGGCAAUCCCCUGGACCUGUACUGACGCUCAUGCACGAAAGCGUGGGGAGCAAACAGGAUUAGAAACCCGGGUAGUCCCAUG